CCUACGGGAGGCAGCAGUAGGGAAUUUUCGUCCAUGGGCGCACGCCUGAACGAGCAAUGCCGCGUGAACGAGGAAGGUCUUCGGAUCGUACCGUUCUGUUGAAGGGGAAACAGAGCGGAGAGAGGAAAUGCUUUCUGAUUGAUAUUACCCUUCGAGGACGUCCCGGCAGACUACGUGCCAGCAGCCGCUGUACUACGUAGGUGGCGCGCGUUAUCCGGAAUGGUUGGGCGUAAGGGGUGCGUCGGCGGCCUGCUAAGUCUGGAGUGAAAGGUACCGGCUCAACCGGUACAGGCUCUGGAAACUGGCGGGCUAGAGGGCAGGAGAGGGCGGUGGAACUCCAUGGGUAGCGGUAAAAUGCGUAGAUAUAUGGAAGAACACCAGUGGCGAAGGCGGCCGCCUGGCCUGUUACUGACGCUGAGGCACGAAAGCGUGGGGAGAAAAUAGGAUUAGAUACCCUGGUAGUC
Molecule: ribosomal RNA, 464 nt
Filed under: uncultured bacterium
Lineage: Bacteria
Description: partial 16S ribosomal RNA
Rfam family: Bacterial small subunit ribosomal RNA
Source: RNAcentral